AGGAAAGCGGAAGAGAAGAAGCAGUAAGUUGUGACAUUCAGCGUGUUUGAGCCGUUCUGAUGGCUUCAAAUCGACCACACUAAAUUAGGUUAUCCAUUAAGGGAAUUACAAUUACAGGCUCAAUUUUGAGGUCAAUGCUUUCUUGCAAAUUUGUUCUUGACAUGGAUAAAUAAAACAUAUGAGGCGGAACUUUAUUUUUAAGUUUCCAAGUCUGAAUUGUUCAUCUUGCACGUCUGUGGAAUGUUCUUGAUUAUUGAAAGAUGUUG
This 266-nucleotide long non-coding RNA is filed under the name Olea europaea (common olive). RNAcentral's name for it is "long non-coding RNA (OEUR_LNC010934)". Lineage: Eukaryota; Viridiplantae; Streptophyta; Magnoliopsida; Lamiales; Oleaceae. The record is from RNAcentral.